Long non-coding RNA from Vidua macroura (Pin-tailed whydah), 741 nucleotides. RefSeq lists it as uncharacterized. The record is from RefSeq and is a predicted model, not a curated record. The transcript is spliced from 3 exons. Lineage: Eukaryota; Metazoa; Chordata; Aves; Passeriformes; Viduidae.
CCUGUGGACGGAAGGGUGGAGAGAAGUGGAGAUGCCUUUGCCUCCCCCCCCCCCCAAGAGGGAAAGAGACAGAGAGCCUGACGGCACCUGGAAAUUUGCCGGCAGAGGAGAAGGAGAAGGGGGGGAAUGGUGCCCAGCGUGGGAGGCGGAAAGCCGGACCGAGAUAUCAGCCGUCCAGGGAGUCUGAACUUUUAACCCUUUCCAGGAAAUGAGGGCUUUUCAAAAGUAUUACUCCUCCUUGAUUUGUAGUGGAAGAGAGAUAGUCCGGGAACUGAGAUGUUAGAAGAAGAAAAUAUUUAGGUGGGAAGAGAUGAUGAAGUAGCUUUGGCUGGACUUUUCUUGUUAGCCAUGGACUGAACCAAAAUCUCCUGCAAUGGAGACUGCAUUUUAGGGGGAUGCAGUGGUGACCCAGGGAGACCUGUUUCAGCUUCGAACAGCACAAGAAUGGCGAGAAACGAAGAAAGCUGAAGAGGGAAUGGUGAUACCCUCUGUCUUCGGGAAGAAGAUGAGUCCUGUUUUUGAACCCUCAGCCCCAGGAGAAAAUAGAGGGGACUGUAGUCCCAGGAUGAGAAACUGAACUGUUGUAUCUUUGGGUCUUUGGCAAAGCAUCCUUAAAGGAGCCCUAUGAGCAGUCUGUCCAAGCACGGUGAUGCAGCCAGAUGGAAUCCGUGGCAGAGGGCCCCGUCCCGGGUGAGGGGGGUCCCCCAAGAAGGAGCUAAAGCCAGAUACUAGCGGUCAAGG